Molecule: long non-coding RNA, 286 nt
Organism: Camelus dromedarius (Arabian camel)
Lineage: Eukaryota; Metazoa; Chordata; Mammalia; Artiodactyla; Camelidae
Exons: 3
Source: RefSeq, a predicted model, not a curated record
AAACGUUUCUGAGCUGUUUUGCUGACAGAAGGCACCACCAGAAUUGGCAAGAGUUAUAAACAAGUUAUUCCAAAGUUAGUGCAUACUGAACAGAAGAAGCUGAUGGAGAGGAAGAGACUGAGGUGCAGGAGAAGAUGAGAGAAAUGAUGGAGCAGGAUUCCUGAGAGAGAAGCAAGAGAGGUCAGGCUGCUGGGCUUGAUCUAGCCCCCUCCUUGUACCACACACAAGGCGACUUUUUGGCAAAUACUGUAUCUUCAGCCAGGAGAAGUUGGCUGAGUACAAAAGG